AGUGAACGCUGGCGGUAGGCCUAACACAUGCAAGUCGAACGGCAGCACAGUAAGAGCUUGCUCUUACGGGUGGCGAGUGGCGGACGGGUGAGGAAUACAUCGGAAUCUACUUUUUCGUGGGGGAUAACGUAGGGAAACUUACGCUAAUACCGCAUACGACCUACGGGUGAAAGCAGGGGAUCUUCGGACCUUGCGCGAGUGAAUGAGCCGAUGUCGGAUUAGCUAGUUGGCGGGGUAAAGGCCCACCAAGGCGACGAUCCGUAGCUGGUCUGAGAGGAUGGUCAGCCACACUGGAACUGAGACACGGUCCAGACUCCUACGGGAGGCAGCAGUGGGGAAUAUUGGACAAUGGGCGCAAGCCUGAUCCAGCCAUACCGCGUGGGUGAAGAAGGCCUUCGGGUUGUAAAGCCCUUUUGUUGGGAAAGAAAAGCAGCAGGUUAAUACCCCGCUGUUCUGACGGUACCCAAAGAAUAAGCACCGGCUAACUUCGUG
This 492-nucleotide ribosomal RNA is filed under the name uncultured bacterium. RNAcentral's name for it is "partial 16S ribosomal RNA". It matches the Rfam family "Bacterial small subunit ribosomal RNA", at positions 29 to 507 of the family's 1533-position model. The record is from RNAcentral.